GUGACAAUAGGCUAAUUGGUAAACCUUGACACUUCCAAUGUCAUUUUGCGUGUUCGACUCACGUUUGUCAUA
RNAcentral lists this transfer RNA (72 nucleotides) under Millerozyma farinosa. RNAcentral's name for it is "transfer RNA-Gly". It matches the Rfam family "tRNA". From Rfam's summary of the family: Transfer RNA (tRNA) molecules are approximately 80 nucleotides in length. Their secondary structure includes four short double-helical elements and three loops (D, anti-codon, and T loops). Further hydrogen bonds mediate the characteristic L-shaped molecular structure. tRNAs have two regions of fundamental functional importance: the anti-codon, which is responsible for specific mRNA codon recognition, and the 3' end, to which the tRNAs corresponding amino acid is attached (by aminoacyl-tRNA synthetases). tRNAs cope with the degeneracy of the genetic code in two manners: having more than one tRNA (with a specific anti-codon) for a particular amino acid; and 'wobble' base-pairing, i.e. permitting non-standard base-pairing at the 3rd anti-codon position. Lineage: Eukaryota; Fungi; Ascomycota; Pichiomycetes; Serinales; Debaryomycetaceae. The record is from RNAcentral.